Molecule: ribosomal RNA, 303 nt
Filed under: uncultured bacterium
Lineage: Bacteria
Description: partial 16S ribosomal RNA
Rfam family: Bacterial small subunit ribosomal RNA
Source: RNAcentral
AGCAGUAGCCGCGGUAAUACAGAGGGUGCGAGCGUUAAUCGGAUUUACUGGGCGUAAAGCGUGCGUAGGCGGCUUCUUAAGUCGGAUGUGAAAUCCCUGAGCUUAACUUAGGAAUCGCAUUCGAUACUGGGAAGCUAGAGUAUGGGAGAGGAUGGUAGAAUUCCAGGUGUAGCGGUGAAAUGCGUAGAGAUCUGGAGGAAUACCGAUGGCGAAGGCAGCCAUCUGGCCUAAUACUGACGCUGAGGUACGAAAGCAUGGGGAGCAAACAGGAUUAGAUACCCCUGUAGUCCCUGUCUCUUAUAA